UGUAGAUGGCAGUAGCAAAAAAAAAAAACGAGAGAAAAGAGAGUAGAGAAAAACAAGAGAAAAGAGAAGAAGAGGCAGCAGAGUAGUCUGUGUUCUUUCUUCGAUUUCCAGUUCGUUCACCGUUGGAUCGGGCUGAGAUUUUGACAGUAGCUUCUAGACACGUUCCUCUUCAUUCUAGACGGUUGGAUCGAAGAUUGGUAGUGUGAAAACUGGCCGUUUUGACAGAAAACGGGGCUAUCAGUUUUGUGAACUAUUUGGCUGGUCAACAGUAAAAUUAAGCAUGACCUUUUGCCAUCAAGCGACGUAUUCGACCUACCCUUUGAAGUAAACGAUGAUGUGUAGCAGUACAAUUGUGAGAAGUUUCUGGUUGCUGUCUCACACAAGACAUGAUAAUCCCAGAUGAGUGUUCAUGAUCCGUCAAGCUCCAAGAAAUUGUUUUAUCUUGAAGAAUCAACUUCUUUGCAUGAUGGAUCCUGAGCAAAAACCUUCUAUUUUGGAGUUGAAAAUUACAAUAAUAUCCACUUUGUCGGAGGUGAAAAAAAGAAGAAAAGAAAGUCAAGCUCUGUUGAAAAUUGUGUGUGAUAAUUGAAAGGACAUUUCACCAAACAAGGCACUAUAAAAAAUACACACAGCAUUAUUUAGAGUUUAGUGGUUUGGUAAUCAUUGCGCAACCAUACGACGACAGCAAAAAAGAGGUGGCCGGCAGCCAAGACGUCCAGCCAACAUUGAGUCAUGGUCCGGCUCAACAGGCCUAUUAGCCCGUGAAAGCUAGCUUCUUUUGAGCUUUGUCAAUUAGUCAAUUUAAUUUUUUAAUCUAAUUAUACCAAGGUAUUAAUGCUCA
Molecule: long non-coding RNA, 841 nt
Organism: Populus nigra (black poplar)
Lineage: Eukaryota; Viridiplantae; Streptophyta; Magnoliopsida; Malpighiales; Salicaceae
Exons: 2
Source: RefSeq, a predicted model, not a curated record